GAAGGAAGUUGAAAUCGCGCUGGAAAACAUGGCCCUCCCGAGGCGUUCCCGGCGCUGCCGAUCCGCGUUUGUCAAUUUCUCUUAGGGAGUCCCCAAAAGGCCGGCCGGAAAAACUCACCUCCCUCCGCGUGUAGAAAGGCCCAGCUCGCCCUCCAGGAAGCCCCCGAGGAAAGUCUCAACUUCUGCCAAAGCCCCAAGCCAGCAAAGCUUUCUGAAUUACAACAGUCAUUUUACAGCAAAAGAAAAAGGAAACUGUGCAAAAAGCAGUGCAAAUACAUGAUGCAACAUUACCCUGGUUACAUGUGCCUUCCAUCCCCCAAUCUCUUACUGCAUACAGCUGACCAUACUGAAAUACCAGUUUCUCCAGAUAAAUCAGCACAUUCUCCAUGGUUUCUCAUUGUGCUUUAUGUAUACUGGCAGCAAAGCAUGACUGCAUUGGAAACUGUGUCUGCUGAAGACAGACAACUUCACUUUCUAAUAAAUUGAAUGUAAUUGGAA
Thamnophis elegans (Western terrestrial garter snake) is the source of this 498-nucleotide long non-coding RNA. RefSeq lists it as uncharacterized. The record is from RefSeq and is a predicted model, not a curated record. Lineage: Eukaryota; Metazoa; Chordata; Lepidosauria; Squamata; Natricidae. The transcript has 3 exons.